GAAACCAACAGGGAUUGCCCUAGUAACGGCGAGUGAAGCGGCAACAGCUCAAAUUUGAAAUCUGGCGCAAGCCCGAGUUGUAAUUUGUAGAGGAUGCUUCAGGGCAGCGGCCGGUCUAAGUUCCUUGGAACAGGACGUCGUAGAGGGUGAGAAUCCCGUAUGCGACCGGUUGGCACCCGUCACGUAGCUCCUUCGACGAGUCGAGUUGUUUGGGAAUGCAGCUCUAAAUGGGAGGUAAAUUUCUUCUAAAGCUAAAUACCGGCCAGAGACCGAUAGCGCACAAGUAGAGUGAUCGAAAGAUGAAAAGCACUUUGGAAAGAGAGUUAAAAAGCACGUGAAAUUGUUGAAAGGGAAGCGCAUGCAACCAGACUUGUCGGCGGUGUUCCGCCGGUCUUCUGACCGGUCUAUUCGCCGCCGGCAGGCCAGCAUCAUCUGGGCGCGCCGGAUAAAGGCGUGGGGAAUGUAGCUCCUCGGAGUGUUAUAGCCCCGCGCACAAUACGGCGCCGCCCGGGUGAGGUCCGCGCUUCGGCUAGGAUGCUGGCGUAAUGGUUGUCUGCGGCCCGUCUUGAAACACGGACCAAGGAGUCUAACAUCUAUGCGAGUGUUCGGGUGUCAAACCCCUACGCGUAAUGAAAGUGAACGGAGGUGGGAAGCGCAAGCUGCACCAUCGACCGAUCCUGAUGUCUUCGGAUGGAUUUGAGUAAGAGCAUAGCUGUUGGGACCCGAAAGAUGGUGAACUAUGCCUGAAUAGGGUGAAGCCAGAGGAAACUCUGGUGGAGGCUCGCAGCGGUUCUGACGUGCAAAUCGAUCGUCAAAUUUGGGUAUAGGGGCGAAAGACUAAUCGA
RNAcentral lists this ribosomal RNA (845 nucleotides) under Teratosphaeria complicata. RNAcentral describes it as "eukaryotic LSU rRNA". It matches the Rfam family "Eukaryotic large subunit ribosomal RNA", at positions 61 to 938 of the family's 3401-position model. Lineage: Eukaryota; Fungi; Ascomycota; Dothideomycetes; Mycosphaerellales; Teratosphaeriaceae. The record is from RNAcentral.